CAACAUACAGGACAGAGUAGACAGUAAGGAAGCCAGAAGAUAGGAGUGAGCCAAUUGGGCAGUUAAGUUCAGACAGAGGUAGCUAGUUAUCAACGCCGAUUUCCUACCAGCAUCUCCUGGAUCUGUCCCCAGAAAUGACGACAAAUGACAAUAAGUGAGUACAAAAUGGUCAUUUUAAGCCCAAACUUUUGGAGCAGUUUGUUAUGUAGUAAUAGAUAACCAAAACCAAAAGACAAAAGACAUCCACGGCCUUGUACUAAAUACUUACUGGCUAACAAAUACUGCUCUUAUCCAUUCCUCAUGCACUUCCACGCUCUCUGGUAUUCUGUUUCCUACCGAAUGCUACUAGAGCAUACCAGUAUCACGUGCAUUCCUGUUCAUUUCUCCCCUGAGGCUCUACCAGAAACAGGUGAGUGAAGGUCAGGCAGUGUAUAUCAGAGAAUAGGCUCCCUCCACCACUUGGGGUCUCUCCCUGCCUCCUCCCCAGGCGCUUUUGGGGCUGCAGCUCUUCACUGCCGUGGACGGCCACCAGAAGGCUGUUGAGGCACCCAUGGGGAGGCUCCGCUGGGCAAGUUGCGGUGGACGCUGCCUGGCUGGGCGCACGGGCAGGCCCUCUAGCUCUGCUCGCCCCCUGCCGGCUGCUCGCCUCCUCGCGAGGUGGAGGGACCGCGGCCAUGACUCCCUGGCCCCCUACGCCCCUGCUGUGGCGCCUUCAUGCCGGUCGACUACCGAGAAAAGGGGCUUCAGUUGUAGGAACGCACCUGCUGCCACCCUGGGGCCUAUAGGGGACUGUAGAGAAAAACCUGCCAUCCCAACCCUUUCAUGACCCCUCUUCCACGCCUUCGGGGCGGGAGGUGGGGCCAGGGGCGAUGGUGAAGUUCAGGGUCAGCCGAUGCGGCUGGUGGAGUCCCCAGGCUCGCGCGCUGGUGGUAGUUGAGCAAUCUGCGCAGCGCCUGCCAAACCCUGUCUUGGCUCCCAGCCUCGCGCGGCCCUGCAAAUACCUGCUCCCGCGGCGCCGGGAGUCUGUAACCCUCGGCCCUUUUCUGACCGCCCCCAGCUUCAGCUGAACGCACUCUUGUUUUCCAACGCUCGGCUGCGCAGUGGCAUCACCCGGAAGCUGUUAAAAAAUAACUACUGCUGAUCGUGGGUUUUAUUUUGCUAUGCAGGAUGUUAUUGGGACAAGUGACGAAAUCUCAAUAAGGUGAUUCCAGUGUGCAGCCAAAAUAGAGGAACACUGCGCCAAAUCUGCCAGUGGAAGGAGCCUGUGAGGGAGUAGGGAGCAGACAAGAGGGAGGCCCCGAGAGACAGCGCACUAGAAACGUGUGGUUUUAUCUCAUGCACGACUUCCAUGGCCAACAUUUACUCCACUGAGAGCUUCUAACUCCACUCCGCCCUCGUGGGUGGAGCAGCGUUGCACCCAGGCUGGCUCACCUUAUGGUCCCAGCAUGGCCACAGAAGCUCUAGGACUCAAACCCGACUCAGCAAGGUGAAGAGGAAGAGGGAAUGUCUCUUCACUGCUUACUUAGGAGCAGUAAACAGUUCUCAAAAUCCACCCUGCAGGGUGACCCUCACAUCACAGUGGCUCCAGCUGUGUCACAUUUCCCAUUUCUAAUCCAAACACUGGCGAAGGGGUUACCCUGUUUGGUGUUGGUUACUCAGGAUCCUCCUCUUGGAGCUGGAAAUAAGGCAUUUGUCAAGAUCCUGGGGACGUGUCACAGUGCUAAGAUGCUGGGAGAGAGACCCACCUGGUCUUCAGUCAUCCAUCCACACUUGUGGCUGCUGACAAACUGCCGUUUCUAUCUGUGUUUCCCCUUCAGCCCCAUGGAUUCCUCUCUCGCCUCAGAACACAGAAUCUGGAAGAAUCUAUACAGAUAACUACUCUUCUACUUCCAGAGGCAGCUACAUAAUUUACAGGAAAAAAAUGUCCAUUAAAGGUCCUAAAUAUACAGCUUUUUCCUUUUUUUCUGCUCUCUCAACUUGCCAUAGUGUAUUUUA
Molecule: long non-coding RNA, 1995 nt
Organism: Equus caballus (horse)
Lineage: Eukaryota; Metazoa; Chordata; Mammalia; Perissodactyla; Equidae
Source: RefSeq, a predicted model, not a curated record